This 507-nucleotide ribosomal RNA is filed under the name uncultured Actinomycetes bacterium. RNAcentral's name for it is "bacterial SSU rRNA". It matches the Rfam family "Bacterial small subunit ribosomal RNA", at positions 399 to 896 of the family's 1533-position model. Lineage: Bacteria; Bacillati; Actinomycetota; Actinomycetes. The record is from RNAcentral.
GCGUGAGCGAAGACGGCCUUCGGGUUGUAAAGCUCUGCCAGGAGGGACGAAGCCACUCAGGUGAAUAGGCCGAGAGGGUGACGGUACCUCCAGAGGAAGCCCCGGCUAACUACGUGCCAGCAGCCGCGGUAAUACGUAGGGGGCGAGCGUUGUCCGGAAUCAUUGGGCGUAAAGCGCGUGUAGGCGGCCAUCCAAGUCCGAUGUGAAAGCUCGGGGGCUCAACCCCGAGUCUGCAUUGGAAACUGGAUGGCUUGAGUCCGGAAGAGGAGACUGGAAUUCCUGGUGUAGCGGUGAAAUGCGCAGAUAUCAGGAAGAACACCGGUGGCGAAGGCGGGUCUCUGGGACGGUACUGACGCUGAGACGCGAAAGCGUGGGGAGCAAACAGGAUUAGAUACCCUGGUAGUCCACGCCGUAAACGAUGGGCACUAGGUGUGGGAGGUGUCGACUCCUUCCGUGCCGUAGCUAACGCAUUAAGUGCCCCGCCUGGGGAGUACGGCCGCAAGGCUA